RNA transcript from Drosophila nasuta, 1927 nucleotides. It is a transcript of the gene named alpha/beta hydrolase domain-containing protein 17B, with no coding region annotated. Lineage: Eukaryota; Metazoa; Arthropoda; Insecta; Diptera; Drosophilidae. The record is from RefSeq and is a predicted model, not a curated record. The transcript is spliced from 5 exons.
CGUCACGAAUUGUAUGUGUAUAAUAUACGGCCAUUACACUUUGUGACUGUGUGAGGGUGUUAAAAUUGUAAUAAUAUACAUAAGAAGAAUGUUUGUUAGCUGGGUUUAAGUAGUAUACCUCAUCUCCAUGUUCUCGGCUAGUAAAUUGAAUUAACAGCAAUCCAGCAAAUUUUCAAUUUCAAUCAUAAUUGAUGUGCAAGCAAAGCAAAGCAAAGUGCAAGCGCCGUUCUUCUUUGUUCAGCUGUGAAAGAGAGUGUAACAAAAGUGUGUAGUGUUAAAGUAAAGUAAAAAAAAUUCAAUUAGAAAAUUAACAUUCCAUUUGGUUUGGUGAGGCACUUCGAAGUAGAGACGAAGGAGUUAUGUUUAGCAUUAGCGAAUUAUGCUGCAUGUUCUGCUGCCCGCCUUGUCCCGGACCGAUUGCUGCCAAACUCGCUUUCCAGCCACCUGAGCCAACAUACAAAUUGACGCCAGCUGAUGACACAAACAUCAAAUACAAUUUACAGCUAUAUGAUCGCGCAGAGUGGCAGUACUCGGAACGUGAGAAAUCCAAAAUCGAGGCGUUCUUCACCCGCACAUCUCGGGGCAAUUUGAUAACAUGCACCUAUGUGCGUUGCAGCAAGAAUGCAAAAUAUACGCUGCUCUUUUCACAUGGCAACGCCGUCGAUUUGGGUCAAAUGAGUAGCUUUUAUCUCACACUCGGCUCGCAAAUCAAUUGCAACAUCUUUGGCUACGAUUAUUCGGGAUAUGGCAUGAGUGGUGGCAAACCCUCCGAGAAGAAUCUUUAUGCAGAUAUCGAGGCAGCUUGGCAAGCAAUGCGAACAAGGCUUAAUAUUAGUCCAGAGACUAUCAUAUUAUAUGGCCAAAGUAUAGGCACAGUUCCCACUGUGGACUUGGCAUCACGACAUGAAGUCGGCGCCGUAAUUCUGCAUUCACCAUUGAUGUCCGGACUGCGGGUUGUCUUUAGAAACACAAAACGAACGUGGUUCUUUGAUGCCUUUCCAAGUAUUGAUAAGGUGCCGAAAGUGAAAUCACCUGUUUUGGUUAUUCACGGCACUGAUGACGAGGUCAUUGAUUUUUCUCACGGCAUUGGCAUUUAUGAGCGAUGUCCCAAGACUGUCGAACCAUUUUGGGUGGAGGGAGCUGGACAUAACGAUGUGGAACUGCAUCCCCAAUAUUAUGAGCGGUUGAGAAAGUUUCUUUCCGUUGAACUGAUCAAAUGACAAUUAAAGAAUAAUGUCGUCGAGGCAGGCGGUCGUAGCAGUACAUCUGCUGAUGGAGCAGCUGAUACAAAUCUAAAUAUCGCAGCUAGUUUGAAAUAUAGUCAAAAAACGCCGCAGACAUCAACAACAACAGCUUCAACAGCGACCGAACGUGAAUCUAAUAUCAAAAACAAUAAGCCAGACGACAACGAUGGAUAUACAGCUUCCGGUUCGAUUUCAAUUAAAGAUCUUGCAGAAAAGUUUCUCUAGCAAAAACAAGCCUUGCUCACAAUUAAUGCAGGCCAUAAACUUAACAAAUUUCAAUAUUUCACAAGGAUGCGCAAGCCAUACAUAGAUACCGAAACAUCUGGAAAAUAGUUUAUUGAUUGAGAAGGAAAGAUUGUCGACAAAUUAAGUGACAACAUCAUCGUAACACAACACACAGCUCUCCCAAUAAAUACACUGUCUCUUAUUACACCAUUCUUAUAUUGCCGAUGCCGAAGCAUUCGAAUUUAGUAUUCCAAUAUCCCGCACAAUACUCUUCUUGGCCAAUAUACAUACUUAUAUAAAUAAUUUAUUAGCUUAAUACAAAAUCUGUUUAAAAAUCAAUAAUGGUACAGAAUUUUAAGAAACCUUCAGUGAUAAUUAAAGAUUUACAACCAUUCCAUGAACAUGUAGUGGUAAAUGUAGUCGUAAAUCUUAUGAGAAUAAAGAUUAUAAUAAAUAAA